Molecule: ribosomal RNA, 396 nt
Filed under: Theileria sp. OT3
Lineage: Eukaryota; Apicomplexa; Aconoidasida; Piroplasmida; Theileriidae
Description: partial 18S ribosomal RNA
Rfam family: Eukaryotic small subunit ribosomal RNA (bases 114-396)
Source: RNAcentral
UUGUGACAGGGGAGGUAGUGACAAGGACUGUCAGAGGUGAAUUCUUCAGUGUGACACAUCGGGAGGUAGUGACAAGGACUGUCAGAGGUGAAAUUCUUAGUGUGACACGGGAGGCAGUGACAAGGCUCGUCCUAGAUUUUCUUCUUAGUUGCAUUAUCUCUUUUUAUAUGAGUUUUUGCAUUAUGGCUUAUUUCAGUAUUAAUUAUUUAUUAUUACUGAAUGUUUACUUUGAGAACAUUAGAGUGCUCAAAGCAGGCUUUUGCCUUGAAUAGUUUAGCAUGGAACCAUAAAGUACGACUAUGGUUCUAUCUCGUUGGUUUUAUGUUCCAACAUACUGGUUUACAGUGACAGUCUCUAGCUCUGAAAUUCUCUUGUCCAAACCUCCCCGUCUUACAC